AGCUCGGCGUGGGGCAGGUUGAAGCUGCCGCCCAGCGUGUGGCACAGCUUGUGGUGCAGCGCCAUGGCCACGCUGCC
RNAcentral lists this transfer RNA (77 nucleotides) under Pseudorhodoferax aquiterrae. Its description in RNAcentral is "tRNA-Ala". The record is from RNAcentral. Lineage: Bacteria; Pseudomonadati; Pseudomonadota; Betaproteobacteria; Burkholderiales; Comamonadaceae.